CAGACAGACAAGUGACGAUUGAACAGAUGUGCAGUGGUUACAGAAUAGUUACAUGGAGCUCAUUAUCUGACCACACUGUUGGGCUCAUGGUGAGUGACAAACUUAAGGGAAGUCACUGAUUACAAUGUGGAAUAACACUGAGAUGUUAAAUAAUUUGGAACAAAUUAUGGGAAAAAGUAGGAGUUUAAUGAGUUUAGAAUAAACCUGCAAUGAUACUUGUCUCUGUGAUGCUGAAUACUUUAUUACUCUUAUGAUCUAUAGUUAGUUGCAAAUGUGAAGUUGUUUUAACUUUAAGACUUUGUCUUCUAGGAUACAGGAGCUGGGAGCUAAACAAGCUAAACAUUUAAUUGCUGACUAAUGUUUUUACACAGGGUUACAGCUUGGAGUGAAGCUGCUCCAAGGGGCCAACCCUGGAGAUUGUUUUAGGGAGACUGUGCAACAUUCUUGUACAUGUCUCAUUGGGGAGUUGACACAGGGCGAAAGCCGUGUGGCGAGAGGAGUGUCGUCUUUUUGAUUUGUAGAUGUCGUGAGGUGCCAUGACGAGAAGGAGUGACUCAGAGGAUCGUCCACAAGAUGGAAGCUGAGGCCUGGAGAGAGUCUUCAGGAGGAUCAGAGAUCACCUUCAGCACAGAGAGCUGUGCUACUGGGCUUCCAAAGGAUCGUCACGAGGAGACUUUGCACAGCAAAAUCUUAAAUAAGAUGAAAGAGUUUCGAUGUUGACGUUAAGGAAGACAACUACGGGGUACGACGUGCUCUGCCUUAAAUCUUCAGCAGCAUUGGAAAAUGGAACCUGAGGGAGCGUGCCAAGCUCCAAAAAGUGACAGCGCAGAGGAGGUCCAGCGAUGGACUUGUGGUUCUGUGAACAGCACAAAUGCCAGGAGCAGAGUCUGAAGUCUGGAGAUUGGAUGUUGAUAAGGCCAUGGAGAGGAAGUGCUGGUCCAGUCCAUGAUGGAAAGGUCCCUAUCGGGUGCUGCUGACAACGACCACAGCAGUGAAGAUUGCUGGAAGGAACACUUGGAUACAUCAAGCGCACUGCAAGAAGGUGACACACAUCCAGGCCAGCUCGGAGUAAGUGGCAGGAAGACCGGGAACAAAGGGUGGGGAAAGCCUCCAGGGCCCCUCGUCUCAAUCCGGUGAAGAAACCAACUGAGCCACAGGUACUCAUCAGAAUGGCUGGGAAUGUGCUGUGCAUCUUCUUGAGCCUGUGGACCCUGAGUGGGAUGACAGGGAGCGCACUGGAACAGAGCAAACCACACCCAUGGGUUUUCAACAACUACUGGUGGCAGUUUAAGAACACAACCGCUCACAUAAAGAACGAGACCAAUGGUUAUGCUUGUGAUGCCACUGGCUACACAUUCUUCUGGACUGUGGCCAUAUAGCAUCACUGAGAGCGAGACAGUUUGUUUGGUUGCUUUAGCAACACAUCCAGGAACACUGCCAACUUUUCAACUGCUCUGAACCUGAAUGGAAGGUUGAUUCACCAGUAGCUGGGAAGGUGAACUGCUCUGGUAAGACAGACCUGCUCAUCUGACUUAAAGAAUAUCAAAAUCAAAUCAAAUCACUUUUAUUGUCACAUCACAUGUGCAGGUACAUUGGUACAGCACAUGUGAGUGAAAUUCUUGUGUGCGAGCUUCACAAGCAACAGAGUUGUGCAAAAUACAAUAAUGUAAACAAGCAAAAUACAAGAAUGGCUACAUCUGAAACUAAUAAAUAUAUGUACAAUAUAUAAUAGUAUAUGCAUUUCUGGAUGUGUAUACUAAAUAUUUUUCUACGUGUGUGUGUGUGUGUGUGUGUGUGUGUGUACACAUAUUUUACAAAUUAAAUAGAGUAAAAUAAAAUAUAUAAAAUAAAUAAAAUAAAAUAUACAGAGUGAGACAUGUGCAAAACAGUGGCGUUACUGUACAGUAUGGAGUGCAUAAUGUUAAAGUUCCAGUAGUGAAGCUGAGGUGUCUAUGACGUGUUCAGCAGUCUGAUGGCCUGGUGGAAGAAGCUGUCUCUCAGUCUGCUGGUUCGGGACCGGAUGCUGCAGAACCUCCUUCCUGAUGGAAGCAGUCUGAACAGUUUAUGGCUGGGGUGACUGGAGUCCUUGAUGAUCCUCCCCGCUUUCCUCAGGCACCGCUUCCUGUAGAUGUCUUGGAGGGAGGGAAGCUCAUGACUCAUGAAUAUGACUUGUAGCAGGACAUUAUUUAGUUAAACGAACUGGAAACAGGCCAAUUGCCUAUGUGUAUGAAGGACAAUGGAUUAGUCCAAGUUGGAGAUUUACCAUGGAACAUGGCAACAUCACCUAUUCUUUUGUCUUCUGCAAGAAGGAUGUAAACAGAGAAGGUUUUUGUCUACGUUUACAUCAUGAACACUUGAGGUUUUGAGCCAAGAAGAUCAAAACAGCUUGAUCCAAUUUCCUUUACAAAGCUUUUUCUGUGGUGACAACAGGACAGGAGAAGAGUUGUAAAUGCAGAUUAUUCACCAGUUGACUCUAACCCCCACAGGAUGCCUACAGUGAGAAGAUUUGGGGGGUUGAUAGGAGUCAUAAAGAAGGGUGUUGACCAGGCUGCAGCUUUGAAGCUAGCUGAGAGCCACAUGGACAAACAAUAAAGUCAACUGAUGUGUUUAAAUACAUAUGUCUAUAUACAGUUGGAUUGUAGUGACAUAUGAUUUUUGAGAAUGAUGAUUCUUCUUGUUCGACUUUUGACAUUCAGUUGUUUACUUGCAGAAAUACAUAAUGAAUCGCACGACAGGAGUAGAUCCGCCACAAGGCUGGAUAGGUUGGUUACUGUCUGGUCCUUGGUGGCAUCUUCUUUUGAAAAUAUUAAUUCCUGCUUUUGUAUUGUUGAUAC
Long non-coding RNA from Astatotilapia calliptera (eastern happy), 2834 nucleotides. The record is from Ensembl. Lineage: Eukaryota; Metazoa; Chordata; Actinopteri; Cichliformes; Cichlidae.